RNAcentral lists this ribosomal RNA (380 nucleotides) under uncultured Cylindrospermum sp. RNAcentral describes it as "bacterial SSU rRNA". It matches the Rfam family "Bacterial small subunit ribosomal RNA", at positions 376 to 770 of the family's 1533-position model. Lineage: Bacteria; Bacillati; Cyanobacteriota; Cyanophyceae; Nostocales; Nostocaceae. The record is from RNAcentral.
CGAAAGCCUGACGGAGCAAUACCGCGUGAGGGAGGAAGGCUCUUGGGUUGUAAACCUCUUUUCUCAGGGAAUAAAAAAAUGAAGGUACCUGAGGAAUAAGCAUCGGCUAACUCCGUGCCAGCAGCCGCGGUAAUACGGAGGAUGCAAGCGUUAUCCGGAAUGAUUGGGCGUAAAGCGUCCGCAGGUGGUUAUACAAGUCUGCUGUCAAAGCGCAAGGCUCAACCUUGUAAAGGCAGUGGAAACUGUGUGACUAGAGAGUGAUAGGGGCAGAGGGAAUUCCCAGUGUAGCGGUGAAAUGCGUAGAGAUUGGGAAGAACACCGGUGGCGAAAGCGCUCUGCUGGGUCAUAUCUGACACUGAGGGACGAAAGCUAGGGGAGCG